This 433-nucleotide ribosomal RNA is filed under the name uncultured bacterium. RNAcentral's name for it is "partial 16S ribosomal RNA". It matches the Rfam family "Bacterial small subunit ribosomal RNA", at positions 29 to 507 of the family's 1533-position model. The record is from RNAcentral.
AACGAACGCUGGCGGCAUGCCUAACACAUGCAAGUCGAACGAGACCUUCGGGUCUAGCGGCGCACGGGUGCGUAACGCGUGGGAAUCUGCCCUUCGGUUGGGAAUAACUGAGAGAAAUUUCAGCUAAUACCUUAUAAUGUCUUCGGACCAAAGAUUUAUCGCCGAGGGAUGAGCCCGCGUAGGAUUAGGUAGUUGGUAGGGUAAUGGCCUACCAAGCCGACGAUCCUUAGCUGGUCUGAGAGGAUGAUCAGCCACACUGGGACUGAGACACGGCCCAGACUCCUACGGGAGGCAGCAGUGGGGAAUAUUGGACAAUGGGCGAAAGCCUGAUCCAGCAAUGCCGCGUGAGUGAUGAAGGCCUUAGGGUUGUAAAGCUCUUUUACCCGGGAUGAUAAUGACAGUACCGGGAGAAUAAGCUCCGGCUAACUCCGUG